Long non-coding RNA from Coturnix japonica (Japanese quail), 1568 nucleotides. The record is from Ensembl. NCBI's taxonomy places the organism in Eukaryota, Metazoa, Chordata, Aves, Galliformes, Phasianidae.
GUUGGUUUUUUUUCCCUUGAUUAGGAGAAAAUUGAUCUUCUGAAAAGCGAUUGGAGCUGCAGCUUUCCUGCUGUGGGAGAACCCAGGAAGUGCUGCAGCAGGAACAUGAAAGAGACCUUAUGUUCCCCUGGCCAAGACUCCUCAUCUGAAUGCAACCAGUGGGCUCCGCACUUGUAAAAUAUUGCUACCUUCCUUCGCAGGCAGUAUGAGUGCAAUUUCGCUACUUACCCAUAUGGGGCAAAGGCUGCAAAAAUUCAACUUGUCAUCAAGGCAGAAGGUACUGAACUGAAGGAUGUGGAAGCCCACUGUUCAGCCUGGCCGCAGGUAGUGAUGAGGGUGACCCUUGACUUUACUUCAGUUAUGUCUCCAAUCAGAAAUAUGGCAGGAGAAAAAAUACAAUAAAGAGCAAGGAAGUGCUUCCUUGCCAAGCAGGACAAUAAGUAACUAAGUUUGUCAGAGAGGCUUUAUCUAUUGUGGAUGUUGGAAGUCAGCAGUGGCAGAUGAGUGAGAAAUGCUGAAGGCUUACAAUUGGCUUUCACUGCCCUCCAGCCUAACAUGAGCUGCAUAGUGAGAAAGGUGUUCCCCAAGCCAAGCACUGUGUGGUACAUGGACCAAGAAAAACCUGACAGAGAGGCCUGGAGGUAAUAAAACUCAUGAACAGGUCAAUGACAUAGCCAUAGAAAUUAUUAACAGCAAAAGCAUUGGUUACUAAACCACUCCUGCCAAUGGCAGCGUGUAGAUGUCCACCUAGGUUACCACUUUGGACAGCAUCUCUACUAAGAAACUUUCAGCCAUAUGAGCUUGCUUUUCAGUAACAGCAUUUAGCACCAUUCUGAUUUAUAGUUUAAAGUGUAAUGAAAGGGAUUUGUAACUGCUUUGUGUUACUUGGUUGUUUUUCUUUCUCCAGAAAUGUCUAUUGAACAAAAAGACUCACAAGACAGAGGUUUCUAUCAUCAGAUCUGUGCUUGAUGUUACGAGGAACCCACCAGAUAAGCGACCUGUUUUCCCUGUGCCUCAGAGGAAGUCCUUUGGAGAUGGCUUUCCUUGGGUAGCUGGCUUUGCACUGGCCAUGAUACAGCUAUGUUUCAGCAGUGGGUCAUGUGAACAUAUCAGAGAAAUGCUGUGGAUAAAUGGCAAGGAAAUAAGUGUAAUUUUUCUACAUAAGCCUCCUCUUACUUGGGAUGUAGAUGCUGCUUCCAUCAGCUGUCAUGACUACCUCAGGUGAGGAAGAAUUUUAAAAGCCUUCCUUAUUACUCAUUCAGUAGAGGUAUGAUCUCUGCUUGACCUGUACUUAAGUGCCAUGUACACAGAGCCAGAGGCAUACCAGUGAGAGGUCAGCAUGCACUGCACUGGUAGUACCUAUAGUGCUUUUGGAUGGGAAUUUGUGAGCUGUGAAAUCAUUUAGCAAGAGAGCUAACACAAAUCUUGCUAAAGCUCUGUCACACUAAGACAGCAUGUAAAAUGGCUUGCUGAAUAUCAAAUGUUGUUCUUAUACUUUUUAUAAAACGGAAUAGGAACCCUAUAAAUCUACCAAUAAAUUUAUCCUAUUAUGAUGGAGAAGUGUCUGU